This 72-nucleotide transfer RNA is filed under the name Pedobacter yulinensis. It matches the Rfam family "tRNA". Rfam says of the family: Transfer RNA (tRNA) molecules are approximately 80 nucleotides in length. Their secondary structure includes four short double-helical elements and three loops (D, anti-codon, and T loops). Lineage: Bacteria; Pseudomonadati; Bacteroidota; Sphingobacteriia; Sphingobacteriales; Sphingobacteriaceae. The record is from Rfam by way of RNAcentral.
GGUUGGGUGACCGAGUGGCUCAGGUGGAGGCCUCAUAAGCCUUUUACGGCGGUUCGAAUCCGCCCCCAAACC